AACCCGACUGGGGGAUGGCUCGGCUCGAGAGCCGAAGAAGGUCGUGACAAGCUGCGAUAAGUUGCGGGGAGAGGCAAGAAUCUCUUGGAUCCGCAAAUUGCUGAAUUGGACCUCCUGGCACUCUGUGCCAUUCCUCAAUGAGGAAAGGGAACCUCCUGAACUGAAGCAUCUCAGUAGGGAGAGGAAAAGAAAUCAAUCGAGAUUCCGUUAGUAGUGGCGAAUGAACACGGAAUAGGACAAACCGAAUCUCUAUGGGAAACCUUAGAGAAAUGUGGGGUAAGGAUCAUCUGUAGUCUAAGUGCAGGAAGUGGAAGUCGUCCUGGAACGGCGCACCACAGAGGGUGAAAGUCCCGUACACGUAUUGCAUAUGGCCAAGUGAUGAAUCCUGAGUAGCGUGCGUUGGAUAUCGCGCGUGAAUAUGGGAGGCAGAGACUUCCAAUCCUGAAUACUACUCGAGACCGAUAGUUGACAAGUAGCGUGAGCGAAAGCUGAAAAGUAUCCUUAGCGGGAUGUGAAAAGACCCUGAAACCAGUCGGGAACAAGCUGAAUAGGCGUGAAAGCGAAGAUAUGAGCAGCGUCUAUUCUUGCGUUUCGAAAAAUGCCCCUGGGAGUUCUGAUCAUUGGCGAGGUUAAGCAGUUGAACUGCGAAGCCGAAGGGAAACCGAAAGGUCCGCAGCCGCGUAAGCGGUCAGGGACUGGGUGCGCUCGCCCGGAGUCAAUGGUGGGAGACCUGAAGCCUAUCGAUCUAUGCCUGGCCAGUCUGAAGCCCGAUGAAAAUUGGGUGGAGGGACGAACCGUUGCUGAUGUGCAAAUCGCUCGGAAGAGUUGGGUAUAGGGGUGAAAGUCCAAUCGAGAUGGGCAAUAGCAGGUUCCGCGCGAGACUACUCGUAGGUAGACCUCCGUAGAGAUAGAAUGCGAGGUAGAGCACUGAUUGGGUGUUUAGGGGGAGCAAUCCCUCGGCACGCUGUCAAACUCCAAAGUUGCAUUCGUCGUAGAAGCGGGGAGUGAGCCACGGUGGGUAAGCUACCGUGACGAAAGGUGAAGAAACCAGCUCAGCGUUAAGGUCCCAAAAUUUCAGUUAAGUGUUAAUCACAAACGGCGUCCGUGGUCGAAGACAACCAGAAGGUGGGCUUAGAGGCAGCCAUCCUUGAAAGAGUUCGUAACAGAUCACUGGUCAAGCUUGCGGGCCCGAAAAAUGGACGGGACUCAAACUGAAUACCGAUACGCUGACCCUCCGAAAGGAGAUGGGGUAGCGCGGCGACAUGGUCGGGUAGAAGCUAGGUCGUGAGAUCUAGUGGACCGUCUAUGUAUGAGAAUCCAGGGAAGAGUAGCAGCAUAGUGCGGUGAGAAUCCGCACCACCGAAGGGGCCAGGGUUCCUCGGCAAUGUUCAUCAGCCGAGGGUUAGCCGGUCCUAAGGACAUUCUUAACCGAGAUGUUCGAAAGGGAAAUGCGUUAAUAUUCGUAUGCCCCUCUGCAAAUCUGGUAACGGCUCGGGCUAGUUCGUGCAUUCCUGUCAUGGGAUGUCGAAGCGUUCGAUAAUCGAUUGGAGAACCGUAAUGGUGAGAAGAUCGAGAAGGCGUGAGCAAAAGACGAAUGAGGCCAGGGCCCCGUGAAAAGCCGCAGAGGUGACCGUACCGAGAACUGACACAGGUGCCCCUGGGUGAGCAGCCUAAGGUGUGACGGGCAAAGUACCGCGAAGGAACUCGGCAAAAUAGCUCUGUAACUUCGGGAGAAGGAGUGCCAGCUUAGAGAUAAGCUGGUCGCAGUAACAAGGGGACUCCGACUGUUUAAUAAAAACAUAGCCGACUGCUAGUUCGAAAGGAUGUGUAUAGUCGGUGAAUCCUGCUCAGUGCCGGUAUCUGAAAUUGGGUUUCAACCUGACGAAGGACCGGUAAACAGCGGGGGUAACUAUGACCCUCUUAAGGUAGCGUAAUACCUUGUCGCUUAAUUGGCGACUUGCAUGAAUGGCACAACGAGAGUCCCACUGUCUCCGCGGUACGUCCGGCGAAAUUGACUAUUACUGGCGCACAGUCCAGUAACCUCAACCUGCAAGCGAAGACCCCGUAGAGCUUUACUGCAGCCUGGCGUUGUACAUUCGCACACUUUGUGCUGAGUAGACGGGAGAUGUUGAUCCUCGG
RNAcentral lists this ribosomal RNA (2139 nucleotides) under marine metagenome. Its description in RNAcentral is "bacterial LSU rRNA". It matches the Rfam family "Archaeal large subunit ribosomal RNA", at positions 15 to 2244 of the family's 2987-position model. The record is from RNAcentral.